UACAGAGGUGGCAAGCGUUGUUCGGAAUUACUGGGCGUAAAGGGCCAGUAGGCGGCCAACUAAGUCCGACGUGAAAUCCCCAGGCUUAACCUGGGAACUGCGUCGGAUACUGGAUGGCUUGAAUUCGGGAGAGGGAUGCAGAAUUCCAGGUGUAGCGGUGAAAUGCGUAGAUAUCUGGAGGAAUACCGGUGGCGAAGGCGGCAUCCUGGACCGACAUUGACGCUGAAUGGCGAAAGCUAGGGGAGCAAACGGG
This 253-nucleotide ribosomal RNA is filed under the name uncultured bacterium. RNAcentral's name for it is "partial 16S ribosomal RNA". It matches the Rfam family "Bacterial small subunit ribosomal RNA", at positions 524 to 776 of the family's 1533-position model. The record is from RNAcentral.